CCAACAUUACCCCCUAGUUUUUUAGUUAAACAAGAUGUUUAAUGGAAAACUAUAUAUGAUUCAUGAUAUUUAGGAUUUAAUAAAGGCCCAAAGAUAGGAAACAAGUGGAUCAUACCCACUUUUAAUAUACGAAGUGGAAUAAGGGAGGACUGGAUAGUGGAUAUCCAGAGCAAUAAGCCCAAUUUGAUAAAGGAUUUGAAUUUGAACGGGAUGGGCCAAUAAGAUAGAGAUCCAACAGUCAGGCCCAAUUUGAUAAGAUAGUCAAAGGUCAUCCAAACGUAUUCCACUUUAAUUCCCAUUAUUACUGACAUUAAAUACGCCGGCC
RNAcentral lists this long non-coding RNA (325 nucleotides) under Panax ginseng (ginseng). RNAcentral describes it as "long non-coding RNA (PGIN_LNC009586)". The record is from RNAcentral. Lineage: Eukaryota; Viridiplantae; Streptophyta; Magnoliopsida; Apiales; Araliaceae.